This 454-nucleotide ribosomal RNA is filed under the name uncultured bacterium. RNAcentral's name for it is "bacterial SSU rRNA". It matches the Rfam family "Bacterial small subunit ribosomal RNA", at positions 28 to 507 of the family's 1533-position model. The record is from RNAcentral.
GAUGAACGCUGGCGGCGUGCCUAAUACAUGCAAGUCGGACGGAUGUAGCAAUACAUUAGUGGCGAACGGGUGAGUAACACGUAGGUGACCUGCCCUAAAGAGGGGAAUACCACUUCGAAAGGAGUGCAAAACCGCAUAAACUUAUAGAGAUCAGAAGGCUAUAAGGAAAAGAGCGAUCUACUUUAGGAGGGGCCUGCGGCCCAUCAGCUAGUUGGUAGAGGUAACGGCCUACCAAGGCGAAGACGGGUAGGGGACCUGAGAGGGUGAUCCCCCACAAUGGAACUGAAACACGGUCCAUACACCUGCGGGUGGCAGCAGUAGGGAAUAUUGCUUAAUGGGCGAAAGCCUGAAGCAGCAACGCCGCGUGGACGAAGAAGGCCUUCGGGUUGUAAAGUUCUUUUAUAUGGGAUGAGGAAGGACAGUACCAUAUGAAUAAGUCUCGGCUAACUACGUG